Callorhinus ursinus (northern fur seal) is the source of this 239-nucleotide non-coding RNA. NCBI's taxonomy places the organism in Eukaryota, Metazoa, Chordata, Mammalia, Carnivora, Otariidae. The record is from RefSeq and is a predicted model, not a curated record.
AGGCUCCUAGAAUCACACCUUUAUCUUUUGGAAUUAUUCAAUGGAAUGUUCUGGAAAAAAGCUUUAUGACUACAUUAUACUUUUUCAGGAGUAAUGUAUGUCAAGAACGAAGCCACUCAGAUGAUAGAAGGGUGGAGCAGGGAUUGAAGAUUCAGGAUGAACUAAAGAGGCAAUGUGUUGGGAUGUGAAGAAGCAUGAGAUGUAAUCCCUGGCCUCGAGAACCUUUCAGCCUGGUGGGG